Molecule: ribosomal RNA, 254 nt
Filed under: uncultured bacterium
Lineage: Bacteria
Description: partial 16S ribosomal RNA
Rfam family: Bacterial small subunit ribosomal RNA
Source: RNAcentral
UACGGGGGGAGCAAGCGUUGUUCGGAUUUACUGGGCGUAAAGGGCGCGUAGGCGGUCAGCACAAGUCAGUUGUGAAAUCUCCGGGCUUAACCCGGAAAGGUCAACUGAUACUGUGCGACUAGAGUGCGGAAGGGGCAACUGGAAUUCUUGGUGUAGCGGUGAAAUGCGUAGAUAUCAAGAGGAACACCUGCGGCGAAGGCGGGUUGCUGGGCCGACACUGACGCUGAGGCGCGAAAGCUAGGGGAGCGAACGGG